RNAcentral lists this ribosomal RNA (469 nucleotides) under uncultured bacterium. Its description in RNAcentral is "SSU rRNA". It matches the Rfam family "Bacterial small subunit ribosomal RNA", at positions 26 to 518 of the family's 1533-position model. The record is from RNAcentral.
AGAACGAACGCUGGCGGCAUGCCUAACACAUGCAAGUCGAACGCUUCACCGGUUUCGGCCGGUGGGGAGUGGCGCACGGGUGAGUAGCGCGUGGGAACCUGCCCUGUUGUGGGGGAUAACCGAGGGAAACUUCGGCUAAUACCGCAUAAGCCGGUUGUCUUGAAAGGGAUGGCCGGGAAAGAUUUAUCGCCGAAAGAUUGGCCCGCGUCUGAUUAGCUAGUUGGUGAGGUAACGGCUCACCAAGGCGACGAUCAGUAGCUGGUCUGAGAGGAUGAUCAGCCACAUUGGGACUGAGACACGGCCCAAACUCCUACGGGAGGCAGCAGUGGGGAAUAUUGGACAAUGGGCGCAAGCCUGAUCCAGCCAUGCCGCGUGAGUGAUGAAGGCCCUAGGGCUGUAAAGCUCUUUGUGCGGGAAGAUAAUGACGGUACCGCAAGAAUAAGCCCGGCUAACUCGUGCCAGCAGCCGC